GGUGGUUAUGAAGCAGACGAGGAGGGGGAAGAGUCGAGGCCACAGGAGUAACGUUACGCUGGUCUACGUGGAGUUGAAAAGGAUUGCUGGUAAGAAUUUUACGAGACCCUUGACCAACAUAGUACAUGCCUCUUGGAAAUUUUCAGAGCCAGAAAGGGAGUUGCUGGUCAGCUCUUGAUGAACCUUCUGAAAGCAACAAAGCUAUCAGAGCCAACUGAACUUUGGUGCUUCAAGGACUACCCCUUUGGUUUGGAGAUGACUCUCCUGCUUUCUUUAAGACGUGUUUGGUGUCUGAUGAUCACAGCUCAAUUCUUUAUGUGCCAGUGGGGAUUGUGAUAGUUGAAGAUGGGACAAGAUGGGUCUCCCUCUUCGAUUGGAAUCGUAAUCGAGGGAAAAUUAGAGAUGGACAAUCUACAUGAUCUUCCUGAAGCAAUGUGCCUUCUGUUCGGACUAAUAUAUGCAUUGCACCUGAGUUACCCAAAGUCGCUGGGAUACACGUUUGACUUCAUUCAGCGGAUUCUACUUUCCUUGGGGCAGAAAGAACUGCAGCCUAAAACAAAAUCAUUGGCAAACCAG
This is a long non-coding RNA of Carassius carassius (crucian carp), 576 nucleotides long. RefSeq lists it as uncharacterized. Lineage: Eukaryota; Metazoa; Chordata; Actinopteri; Cypriniformes; Cyprinidae. The record is from RefSeq and is a predicted model, not a curated record. The transcript has 4 exons.